GCGCGAAAACUUUACAAUGCGGGAAACCGUGAUAAGGGAACCCCGAGUGCCCGUAGAAUCGGGCUGUUGAUCUGUGUAAAAGCAGGUAAAGAAAGGGCCGGGCAAGACCGGUGCCAGCCGCCGCGGUAAUACCGGCGGCUCGAGUGGUGGCCACUAUUACUGGGCUUAAAGCGUUCGUAGCUGGGUUGUUAAGUCUCUUGGGAAAUCCACCGGCUCAACCGAUGGGCGACCAGGGGAAACUGGCAUUCUAGGGACCGGGAGAGGUGAGAGGUACUCCAGGGGUAGGAGUGAAAUCCUGUAAUCCUUGGGGGACCACCGAUGGCGAAGGCAUCUCACCAGAACGGCUCCGACAGUGAGGAACGAAAGCUGGGGGAGCAAACCGGAUUAGAGACCCUAGUA
Molecule: ribosomal RNA, 399 nt
Filed under: uncultured bacterium
Lineage: Bacteria
Description: bacterial SSU rRNA
Rfam family: Archaeal small subunit ribosomal RNA
Source: RNAcentral